Molecule: unclassified non-coding RNA, 286 nt
Filed under: Hevea brasiliensis (rubber tree)
Lineage: Eukaryota; Viridiplantae; Streptophyta; Magnoliopsida; Malpighiales; Euphorbiaceae
Source: RNAcentral
CAAAUGCUCAGCGAAAUACCGCUGCUGCUGAGCUUCUUGGGCUCUUCUUGCUGUGGCUGAGACUCGACAGGGGCUGAUUGGUGUUCCGGCGGUGGCGCAGUGGUGGCAGUACUGGUUUCGGAGUCGGUCAUGGUCGCGAAAGAAAUAGGAAAUUUUUUAGAUUUGGAAGGGAGAGGAGAUCGAGAGCAUUCAAUGGCUGCUUUAAGCGUUAACUGAGAAGUGAGAAGAGCGCUGCCGUGGGGUCAUUUGUGGGUGAGGUAUAAUGACCGGUUACCUUAGAUCUAAU